This 497-nucleotide ribosomal RNA is filed under the name uncultured bacterium. RNAcentral's name for it is "partial 16S ribosomal RNA". It matches the Rfam family "Bacterial small subunit ribosomal RNA", at positions 28 to 507 of the family's 1533-position model. The record is from RNAcentral.
GAUGAACGCUGGCGGCGUGCCUAAUACAUGCAAGUCGAGCGAACAGACGAGGAGCUUGCUCCUCUGACGUUAGCGGCGGACGGGUGAGUAACACGUGGAUAACCUACCUAUAAGACUGGGAUAACUUCGGGAAACCGGAGCUAAUACCGGAUAAUAUAUUGAACCGCAUGGUUCAAUAGUGAAAGACGGUUUUGCUGUCACUUAUAGAUGGAUCCGCGCCGCAUUAGCUAGUUGGUAAGGUAACGGCUUACCAAGGCAACGAUGCGUAGCCGACCUGAGAGGGUGAUCGGCCACACUGGAACUAGGACACGGUCCAGACUCCUACGGGAGGCAGCAGUAGGGAAUCUUCGGCAAUGGGCGAAAGCUUGACGGAGCAACGCCGCGUGAGUGAUGAAGGUCUUCGGAUCGUAAAACUCUGUUAUUAGGGAAGAACAAAUGUGUAAGUAACUAUGCACGUCUUGACGGUACCUAAUCAGAAAGCCACGGCUAACUACGUG